Mya arenaria is the source of this 446-nucleotide long non-coding RNA. RefSeq lists it as uncharacterized. NCBI's taxonomy places the organism in Eukaryota, Metazoa, Mollusca, Bivalvia, Myida, Myidae. The record is from RefSeq and is a predicted model, not a curated record. The transcript is spliced from 4 exons.
GUGCAACUGACGUAUUUUAUGAUAUUGUGGUUUUUAUGUAUAAAUCUGAUUCACUGAUUAACAUAUUAAAUUGAUUGGCAACAUCUAUCGUAAUCAGUUAAAUGUUAAUUUCAUCGUGGAAAGCUAAGUUAUGCCAGACUAAUUGAGUGAAGAAACAAACUACGAUGAACUAGAAGGUCGUUUAAAGAGUUUUGAAGACUGGACGUUUACGACGGACCCAGAGAAGCUGGCAAACGCUGGAUUUUAUGCUACAGGGUACCACGACGUUGUUAGAUGUUUUGCCUGUGGUCUCGGGCUACGAUACAUGAAGCCCGAAGAUGACCCCUUGAUCGAGCACAUCAAGCACGGCCGUCCACGUGUCACUUCUUGAACCAGCUGUCUGACAAUACUCAGCAAGAAGAAACAGACGAGAAUGGUGCGACAAAUUCGACGAAUGGUGAAUCAGA